RNAcentral lists this ribosomal RNA (211 nucleotides) under Goniurosaurus kuroiwae (Tokashiki gecko). RNAcentral describes it as "partial 12S ribosomal RNA". Lineage: Eukaryota; Metazoa; Chordata; Lepidosauria; Squamata; Eublepharidae. The record is from RNAcentral.
AAGAUAAUUCAACACCUACCUCCGCCAGAGAACUACAAGUAAAAACUUAAAACUCUAAGGACUUGACGGUGUCCCAUAUCAACCUAGAGGAGCCUGUCCUAUAAUCGACAACCCACGCUAUACCUUACCACCCCUUGCAAACAACAACCUAUAUACCGCCGUCGUCAGCCCACCUCCUGAGAGCCCUAAAGUGAGCUAAAAUGUACAUCAC